Molecule: non-coding RNA, 273 nt
Filed under: marine eukaryotic metagenome
Source: RNAcentral
GUUUGUACAGACCCUUUACCGAAAGACUGUGUACCCAUAAUGAUGGCGCGGCGAUGAUCCUGCAGCGCGCCAGAUACAAUUUCAGACGCAGAUGCAGACCCGCCAUUUAUUAAGACUACAAUCGGCAGACCGCCUGUUAAGUCACCCUUGCUUGCAUUGUCACGUUUUGUGUCAUGUUCGUUACGGCCACGAGUGGAUACGAUUUCGCCUUUAUCAAGGAAAAUAUCGGAUACGCCAAUCGCUUGGUCUAAUAGUCCGCCUGGAUUGUUUCGA